AUGAUUUGUUAUGCAUUUUAUUGUCAUGUAGUCCUCUGUGACAUUGUGUGCAUCAGGGUAAUUGCAUCAAUGUGUUAUCCCCUACCUCAAGGGGAUUUUGUUUUGGGAAAAAGAUUUAGGCUGUGUCCUCAGUCUUUCUCAGCCUGGGGUCUAGCUUACCUGUGUCAACAUGGUGACGGCGCCAGGUGUACUGACGACCCUUGUGUUAACAGGAUUGUGUGUCCACGUCACAGUGAUUCGUGGCAGGACGUGGAGAGUUGUGUGCGGUUCUCCUCCCAGCUGUGUGACCUGUCCGAGGCCUUCUCUAACUUCGAGGUGUACAACAUGAUCCGCCUGGGCCUCCACCAGGGCCCGGGGAGUCCAGUCUGGACAGAAAAUCUGGUGUUUGGCGUCCGUGAUUUCAACUUCAGCAGCCCCUCCGUCUUGGUCUCUCUGUCUGGAGAGAGGCUGGGAGUGGAGGUGCACUUACCUUGUUCUAGCAAAAGGGAGUGUCUUCCUCUGCAGAGUUGCUGUCCACUGUCAAAAUUUAUUGACCUCUGGGUCACCGUGACAGUAUAUGACCGACAGAACCCCUCCGACUACAAGACGCAGAUUGGUUUGGUCCAGACGAUGGUGUAUGGGGCAGAGUUCUCAAACCUGGUCCCAGGACAUGACUACUGUGUUGUGGCUAACUUCUCCGUCAGUCCGGACACCUUCCCCCAGGCCUCGUCUCCUCCCUCGGACCCCAGUUGUGUCCACCAUGCUGGCCCAGGACUAGGGUUGCAGCCAGUGUUGGGGAUAGGAGUGUGUGCUGUACUCUUCUCUCCUCUCCUUGCUCUGGCUCUGUACCUGCUGAAACAAAAACGAGAUGCACCACACGUAAACAGACUCCCCAAGUCUCUAGCAUCUCUUCAGGCAUUCCUCCAGGACCUGCCGGAGUCCCCUUCAGACCCUGUUGACCCCAGUGACAUUGUAGACGACCACCUCUCCAUCCUGUCCUCUUUCUCCAGCUGUGUCUGCACCGAGGCCCAGGCCCCAAGCCUGGGUAAUGGGUACAACAGCAACCCCUUCCUCAGUGACUAUAGGUCAGGCAACAUGCACUGGAACACUGAGAGAAUGGAGCUGGACCUGAACUCAGGCAGCACCAUAUCCCUGCCAUGCUCCACUGUGCCUAUAGGCCUGCAUAUGAUCCAGUGCAGCUUUGAUUCACCUCGACAACCACAUCCAGGGCCCAAUGUGCCAGUUCUACCGUACCCUGGUUCUCCAUCUCUGUCAGAGGCCGUGGAGGGCCAGGUGGUCCCGUUGUGUUCUGUGAGGUUUGGGAGGGUGAGUGAGGGGGAUGGGGGUGAGAACCUUGAGGGACUACAGUGGUGUAACCUGUAG
RNAcentral lists this long non-coding RNA (1362 nucleotides) under Oncorhynchus kisutch (coho salmon). RNAcentral's name for it is "lncRNA (ENSOKIG00005013595.1)". The record is from RNAcentral. Lineage: Eukaryota; Metazoa; Chordata; Actinopteri; Salmoniformes; Salmonidae.